Molecule: long non-coding RNA, 1321 nt
Filed under: Junco hyemalis (dark-eyed junco)
Lineage: Eukaryota; Metazoa; Chordata; Aves; Passeriformes; Passerellidae
Description: lncRNA (ENSJHYG00000004069.1)
Source: RNAcentral
UUAAUUGCCACAAGCAGAGCAAAGGAAGCAUGUUUGCACAUGCGAAUCGGUUCCCUCUGAGUGUUUUCGUUUUCCCCUUCGUGGAUGCUGGCAGAGUGGGUAGGAACAAGGAGGAACAACUUCUAACCCCACAGCUCUGCUUCUUCCAUCCUUCCCCCUUGCCCUUUGUUCUCUCCUGCAAACAAAGGAGUUUCUCCUACCGGGCUUCUCCUCAGCCUACCAGGUCUGGCUCCUUUCUGCUCCCAUUCCCCCGUGGUCCCUUCCCCCACGGCCUUGUGUGUCUCCUGCCCAUUCCCACUGCUUUUCCAUCCUCCCUCCCAUCACUGCUGGCUCUUUGUUCCCACAGGGCUCUGGAGAUGUGCAGCAGGAGCUCAGCUCUUUCUUUUAAAUUAAUUUUAUUUCUUUUUUUCUUCUUUUUUUUAAUUUUAUUUUUUCAGGAAGGAAACAUGGAACAUUUGAAGGCCCACUGACUGCAUAUGAGAAGAUAGCAGAGAAAAGCAGCAACCAUCAUAUGCCUUAAGAAAAUGCUAGCAUUAAACACAGCCAUGUUUUCCUCUAGAAGAUGCACAAGUCCCAAGAAAGACAGUCUGCAACUUGCAUGCAGCUGUGACAGAUUGCUGUGUAAGUGAUCUGUGCAAGACUAAGAACUUUCCUUCACAGCAAGUCUAACAACAUUUUAAAAAAUGCCUUUAUAUCUGUAAAGGAAAAAGAAGAAGGUGGGGGUGAAGCUGCCUCAUAAGGUUUUCAGAGAGCUCUUACCCAUAGAAAUAAUGAAUGUAUUUUCAAAUCUGUGUACAGAUGUUUCACAAGGAGCUACAGCUUUCUGCGGUGGAGUACAGCAAUGCCUCACUCAGGUGCACAGUAUUAACCUGCUGCCAUGAAGGUGGUCUGGAACAGUUCAUAUUCCACCAAAAGCGCUCCGUCGCUUUCAAUUCCGGCUGUUCCCGCUGCUUUCGGCUCUCAAACACGUUCAUUGUCAGGUGGCGUGGAGCUGAGGAAAAGCUGAGGCAAGAGAGGACCCACCACCACCACCACUGCUCUUGUUCCCUUUCCCUUGCGACUUGUGCAAGGGGUGAGCAGUCCUUCUCUCCCUGUCACCUGCACGGAGCUGUCUGCGAGUUCUUCUUCGGGGCCAGCCCCUCCUGGCACUCGGCUGUUUCAGGACCGAGAUGCUCGAAAUGUCGCCUUGAAAGCACAAACGCAGAGUUGGCGCUGCCGUGCUCAUGCGGGGCUUGAGAGCUCCUGGGUUUUGCUAGGUCGGGAUUGCUUGUUUAGACCGGAGCACCUUCAGUGAAAUAAACACCUGAUAGCGAAAAGAUCA